AGUGCGCCUGCGCGCUUGUGGAGCUGGUGGCGGCGCUCCGCAGGGGCUCGGCUGUUCUCCGCGCGGCGGGCGCGGCCAUGGCGCAGCCGGGGAAGCUGCUCAAGGAGCAGAAGUACGACCGGCAGCUGAGGUUGUGGGGUGAUCAUGGGCAAGAGGCUUUAGAAUCUGCUCAUGUUUGCCUAAUAAACGCAACAGCCACAGGAACUGAAAUUCUUAAAAACUUGGUACUACCAGGUAUUGGUUCGUUUACAGUUAUUGAUGGAAAUCAGGUCAGCGGAGAAGAUGCUGGAAACAAGUAUGUUCUAUUCUUUUCAAAUAUAUUCAUGUUAAGGAAGGCAAGGCCUGAAUCUUAGCUUCACCUCCUCAGUCAGGGUGACUCGACUCUCAGUGGAAAUUAUCCUUAUGUUUGGGAUUAUGGUGAGGAGGAAGUGAGAUAAUAUAGGUAAAGUGCUAGUACAGCAUCUGGCAAAUAGGGCAUUAAUAAAUGGUACCCAUCAUUACUGUCUUUAUUGUUAGUAAUAUAAAGGAGUAGUCAUUAUUCCUUUAUUCAUGGAAUAUGGGCACUUCCUAAGCUCUUGCAUUGAUUCGUAGGUGUUAGCAUAUAAUUAACAAUAAUACCUGUUUGUAAUGUCUUUUAGGCUUAGUCUAGGUGUAUCUCUCUUUACACUGUGUCUACAAAAAUGCUGUUUUAAAGAUGGCUUGUAUAUUAUUCUUUAAAGAU
Molecule: small RNA, 721 nt
Filed under: Pongo abelii (Sumatran orangutan)
Lineage: Eukaryota; Metazoa; Chordata; Mammalia; Primates; Hominidae
Description: retained intron
Source: RNAcentral